CCUACGGGAGGCAGCAGUGGGGAAUAUUGCACAAUGGGGGAAACCCUGAUGCAGCGACGCCGCGUGAGUGAAGAAGUAUUUCGGUACGUAAAGCUCUAUCAGCAGGGAAGAAAAUGACGGUACCUGACUAAGAAGCCCCGGCUAACUACGUGCCAGCAUCCGCGGUAAUACGUCGGGGGCACGCGUUAUCCGGAUUUACUGGGGGUAAAGGGAGCGUAGACGGCAGUGCAAGUAGGACGUGAAAUCCCAUGGAUUAACCAUGGAACUGCUGUGGACACUGUGCGGCUGGAGUGCAGGAGAGGUAAGCGGAAUGCCUGGUGUAGCGGUGAAAUGCGUAGAUACCAGGAGGAACACCGGUGGCGAAGGCGGCUUACUGGACUGUAACUGACGUUGAGGCACGAAAGCGUGGGGAGCAAACAGGAUUAGAUACCCUAGUAGUC
RNAcentral lists this ribosomal RNA (440 nucleotides) under uncultured bacterium. RNAcentral describes it as "partial 16S ribosomal RNA". It matches the Rfam family "Bacterial small subunit ribosomal RNA", at positions 338 to 795 of the family's 1533-position model. The record is from RNAcentral.